RNAcentral lists this ribosomal RNA (497 nucleotides) under uncultured bacterium. Its description in RNAcentral is "partial 16S ribosomal RNA". It matches the Rfam family "Bacterial small subunit ribosomal RNA", at positions 28 to 507 of the family's 1533-position model. The record is from RNAcentral.
GAUGAACGCUGGCGGCGUGCCUAAUACAUGCAAGUCGAGCGAACAGACGAGGAGUUUGCUCCUCUGACGUUAGCGGCGGACGGGUGAGUAACACGUGGAUAACCUACCUAUAAGACUGGGAUAACUUCGGGAAACCGGAGCUAAUACCGGAUAAUAUAUUGAACCGCAUGGUUCAAUAGUGAAAGACGGUUUUGCUGUCACUUAUAGAUGGAUCCGCGCCGCAUUAGCUAGUUGGUAAGGUAACGGCUUACCAAGGCAACGAUGCGUAGCCGACCUGAGAGGGUGAUCGGCCACACUGGAACUGAGACACGGUCCAGACUCCUACGGGAGGCAGCAGUAGGGAAUCUUCCGCAAUGGGCGAAAGCCUGACGGAGCAACGCCGCGUGAGUGAUGAAGGUCUUCGGAUCGUAAAACUCUGUUAUUAGGGAAGAGCAAAUGUGUAAGUAACUAUGCACGUCUUGACGGUACCUAAUCAGAAAGCCACGGCUAACUACGUG